This 440-nucleotide ribosomal RNA is filed under the name uncultured bacterium. RNAcentral's name for it is "partial 16S ribosomal RNA". It matches the Rfam family "Bacterial small subunit ribosomal RNA", at positions 338 to 795 of the family's 1533-position model. The record is from RNAcentral.
CCUACGGGUGGCAGCAGUGGGGAAUAUUGCACAAUGGGCGAAACCCUGAUGCAGCGACGCCGCGUGAGUGCAGAAGUAAUUCGUUAUGUAAAGCUCUAUUAGCAGGGAAGAAAAUGACGGUACCUGAGUAAGAAGCCCCGGCUAACUACGUGCCAGCAGCCGCGGUAAUACGUAGGGGGCAAGCGUUAUCCGGAUUUACGGGGUGUAAAGGGAGCGUAGACGGUAGUGCAAGUCUGGGGUGAAAGGCGGGGGCUCAACCCCCGGACUGCUCGGGAAACUGUGCGGAUGGAGGGCAGUAGAGGUAAGUGGAAUUCCUAGUGUAGCGGUGAAAUGCGUAGAUAUUAGGAGGAACACCAGUGGCGAGGGCGGCUUACUGGACUGUAACUGACGUUGAGGCUCGAAAGCGUGGGGAGCAAACAGGAUUAGAUACCCGUGUAGUC